CACAGCCUGAAACAGUGCCAGGGGCUCCUGGAGAGGAUGCUGAAGCAGCAGCUUCCCUUUGAAAAAGGCAAAAAGUCCCCAGCUCAGAGCCACAGCAGUGAGCUGGAGGUUGAGGUCAUUUUCUUGUGAAAUGUCCCAUCCAUUACUCUCACCCACAGCCUACAGCCCUGCUGACCACUGAGAUUUGGUUGAAACCGGCCCACAGAGUACAACUACCUGAGAACACAUCCUUGAGAAAGACAGCCAGGCACAUUGCCCAAACCACAGGCUAUUGAAAACUUGGCCAAAAGUGACUACUCUGGACGGUUGACCUCCAAAGUGCUGAUGAAUACAAUGAACUGUGGAGGAUGUAUGAUUUGUUUUGAACACAUUUACUAUGAUUGAUGGUCCGGAUUUGGCAAGUUAGUUCAUUCCCAGUGGAGAGGAAGGUUUCACUGCCUUGCCUCUUUCAACAUUCCUGUUGAGACAGGUUUCACUCUUAUUGGCCAAUGUACUCAGAAAUCACUUACAUUUGCAGCAUAAUGAAUUCAUUAGCUACACUGGAUCAAUGCUGUGCAUAAGAUUCCUGAGUCAACAUAAGCUCUUAAUUGAAUUUCCUUAUUAUAAUGCCUUUGGAAAUUUUCCUUCAGGCUACUAAAUUUCAAGGCAUGAGUCUAUGUGUCAACCGGUAAUUAUGCUAGUAACUUUUUGAGACCAGUCAGGGCCAGCGCCAGAGUCAGGUUAGGAAGUGAUCUAUUAUGAAUGGCAGGUUAUAAAACAUACAUGUGAUCAAAACACCCACAAAUGGACUCACACCAUUCUACGCUUCCAGUUAUUCUGACAGAGUUAUCAGCCUUCUGCGCAAGCCAAUUUCAGUUACUGAUUUUUUUUAAAAAUCGUGAAAUAAAAACUGAGAUAAUCAAGUUAA
Non-coding RNA from Ictidomys tridecemlineatus (thirteen-lined ground squirrel), 907 nucleotides. The record is from RefSeq and is a predicted model, not a curated record. NCBI's taxonomy places the organism in Eukaryota, Metazoa, Chordata, Mammalia, Rodentia, Sciuridae.